Molecule: non-coding RNA, 1803 nt
Organism: Oncorhynchus mykiss (rainbow trout)
Lineage: Eukaryota; Metazoa; Chordata; Actinopteri; Salmoniformes; Salmonidae
Source: RefSeq, a predicted model, not a curated record
GCCCGGUUCAACGUCAGUUCACCGUCUCACCUCAUACUGCAUUGGAGCAGCAGCAGCUGACUGCCCAGUUCAACAGCAGUUCACUGUCUCACCUCAUACUGUAUUGGAGCAGCAGCAGCUGACUGCCCAGUUCAACAGCAGUUCACCGUCUCACCUCAUACUGUAUUGGAGCAGCAGCAGCUGACUUGAUCGUUGAUGCUAAUCAUCAUGUUUGAAUCUGAGAGUAAAUAGAGCCGACUACAACUCUAAAAAUGAAGGGUUCAACUGGAAUUGUUCUCAGAUCCCUUUAAGAACCGUAGGGUUGUUGGUCAAUGAAAAACAGCCCCAAAAGGUUCUUCAAAGAACUUGUUAGAAGGUGGGUUCAUCGAGGAACCUCCGUUGUUGCUGGACUUUGUUAACUAACUAACUAAGAACGGUGACCUGUCCAGACAAGAUGUUACAACGAACUGAAUCGUUAGUGGAGGUCUUCCUCUUUAUAUAGCCUGCUACAGCAUGUAAUACUAUUAACUCACAAGGGGGCAUAAGGUUACAUAGACAAUACUAUCCCAUUUUGGAAACGUUACAUGUACAAUACUAUCCCAUUUUGGAAAUGUUACAUGGACAAUACUAUCCCAUUUCGGAAACAUUACAUGUACAAUACUAUCCCAUUUUGGAAAUGUUACAUGUCUGCCCCCUUGUUGAAGGAAAUGAAUAGCUUAGAUGAAAGCUGUAGAUGGGAUUCAAAUGCAUGAUGGUGUUAAUACAUUUUCUGGACUACCUCUUCUGUAUAAAUGCCCUUCAGGAAAAUGUUGCGUAUAGUCUUUAAAGUCAGCCUGAUGAAAUAUUGAACAAUUUGUGUACAAAGAUAUCUUGAAAUGUGAUAUUAGGCCUGUAUGGCAGUACUGUUACUGUAUGGCAGUACUGUUACAGUAUGGCAGUACUGUAUUGGCUAAUGCUUUCUCCAAUAUGUUCUUCUAUUUUGCAUUACAUUGUAUGUCGAUGCCAUUUAUCUUUCAAUAUUUAUUUUAUAUAUAUAUUAAUGCUUUUAAGACUAUUCUUUGGCACAUUUUCUCGUCCUUUGAAAUUCUUAUAGGACAGAACAUGGACACAAUGCAACUGGGAUCAAGAAGAAGAAGGAACAGAUAUGUUGUAGGACAGCUGCAUUUGAAGUGUACAUUUAACCUACAUAGCAGUCAAUACUAACUGACAUAUAUUAGCAUACAAAUGUGUGCAAAUUAUCUUUUCAGAUCUUCUCAGAAAUUAAUCAAGUCCAUGGAAUGGAUAUAGACAAAAAGAGAAUUCAAGGACCCUCAGAGGUAUAGAGGCGAGGCAGGGGUGAGGACAUCGUCCUGCUAUUUUGACAGUCCCUGAAGGACAAUACAGAAGAGGACUGGAGACCACAGCAGCGAUUUUACUCUUGCCCAACCUCUUCAAAGAGGACCCAAGAUUUCACCGCUCGGCGGAAAUCCAUUUCACCAUGAGAGUGAAAUCCCGCUGGCCUUUGAUGGGGAGAACAUCCUCGCCCUCGAGGACGUCCUCAUGGGACUUGGGGCUCUGCUAGGGCUGAAUUUUUUAUUUUCUCUUAAAUUUCCCCAAAAUGUCAGAAAACACUUAUGUUAAGUUACUGUGUUCUGGGGAGAAGAGAAGUUGGGGUGAAGUUACCAGAGCCGGUCAUAAAGAUGGAAAACUUCCUAACAUAACUAAGUGAAUAUGAUAUACACACUAAAGCUGAAAAAUCUGUAUUUAGCAUCAAGUCUACAAUAUUGUUAGUUUACCUAUGAUUCAUUUUUAAUGUAUGUUGUUUUUAUUGUACAUCAUCAUUUA